RNAcentral lists this ribosomal RNA (433 nucleotides) under uncultured bacterium. RNAcentral's name for it is "partial 16S ribosomal RNA". It matches the Rfam family "Bacterial small subunit ribosomal RNA", at positions 29 to 507 of the family's 1533-position model. The record is from RNAcentral.
AACGAACGCUGGCGGCAUGCCUAACACAUGCAAGUCGAACGAGACCUUCGGGUCUAGUGGCGCACGGGUGCGUAACGCGUGGGAACCUGCCCUUAGGUUCGGAAUAACUCCCCGAAAGGGGUGCUAAUACCGGAUAAUGUCUUCGGACCAAAGAUUUAUCGCCUUUGGAUGGGCCCGCGUUGGAUUAGCUAGUUGGUAGGGUAAAAGCCUACCAAGGCGACGAUCCAUAGCUGGUCGGAGAGGAAGAUCAGCCACACUGGGACUGAGACGCGGCCCAGACUCCUACGGGAGGCAGCAGUGGGGAAUAUUGGACAAUGGGCGAAAGCCUGAUCCAGCACUGCCGCGUGAGUGAUGAAGGCCUUAGGGUUGUAAAGCUCUUUUACCCGGGAUGAUAAUGACGGUACCGGGAGAAUAAGCUCCGGCUAACUCCGUG